UACGAACGAGACUCUAGCCUACUAAAUAGUUCGUCGAUCCUUUAUGCGUCGACGUUAACUUCUUAGAGGGACAAGUGGCUUUUAGCCACACGAGAUUGAGCAAUAACAGGUCUGUGAUGCCCUUAGAUGUCCGGGGCCGCACGCGCGCUACACUGAAGGAGACAGCGUGGCUUUUUCCCUGAUUCGAAAGGAUUGGGAAACCCGUUGAAUUUCCUUCGUGAUAGGGAUUGGGGCUUGAAAUUCUUCCCCAUGAACGAGGAAUUCCCAGUAAGCGCGAGUCAUAAGCUCGCGUUGAUUACGUCCCUGCCCUUUGUA
RNAcentral lists this ribosomal RNA (315 nucleotides) under Rissoa sp. RG-2014. RNAcentral describes it as "SSU rRNA". It matches the Rfam family "Eukaryotic small subunit ribosomal RNA", at positions 1330 to 1664 of the family's 1831-position model. The record is from RNAcentral. Lineage: Eukaryota; Metazoa; Mollusca; Gastropoda; Littorinimorpha; Rissoidae.